Cyanistes caeruleus (blue tit) is the source of this 1124-nucleotide non-coding RNA. The record is from RefSeq and is a predicted model, not a curated record. Lineage: Eukaryota; Metazoa; Chordata; Aves; Passeriformes; Paridae.
UGGUAGGAAACAAGUAUUCUCAAGCUUGGGUCUACAUUCUUCUGGUAAUGCGGAUUUAGCCCAAGGUCACGCGAGAAACCUUUAUUUCAAGCAGCUUGCUCAGUCUUAAGGAGAAUUGCUACAGUAUUUCCCUUUGUACACAUUUCGUUAAGUAAAUGCUUAAUAGCAGGGUGGCUGUCAUCUUAGGGCAAAUAUUUUAGAAAUCCCUUGUUAGUCACAUCAGGUGUGCUUCUUCAAUAUUGCAACAUCUGUUAUUUGUUAGAUGCAAACAGAGAAUGAAAAUGUGUAUUUGCCUUGUCCUGGGCUCUUCAAGUAAUUCAGGCAACCUGGCUGAAUGUGCUGGAGACAGUGCUGACGUUACAGUUAUUUCAGGAAGGUAAAAUUGCACCAAAACUUGAGUAGGGGGUAAACUAAAAAAUGUUGUAUUACGCUUGGGUGCCCUCUAGUUCUCUUACAAUCCAGUGUGUACUUUAAAGAUACCUUGAUCCUUGGAAUUUCCUUGUAGAAGUCAAUGCUGUUCCAGCAGAGCAAACACUGGAUGGGCUCUUCACAAACAGUGGCUCCCACCUGCCAUUCCCAUCUCCCGACAUGACCAUCUCCAUGGAGGAUGUUGCCUUGGGGAUGAGCCAGGUUCAUCCUGCAGCUCCCCAGUAGCACUGUGCCAGAUCUGCCCCAUCCCUCUGAGCCACAGCAGGCCCUGAGAUCUGCUGGAAGCACUGGAGCAAAAGGUGCUCAAAAGCUGGUUUCUUCCAGGGACUGAAGAACAUUGUAAACCACAGCCCUAAAUGUUUGAUUAACCCCUAUGGGACCUGUGUGGUUUUCACAAGACAUUAACUGUAAGAGGUACAUUUCUUGCACUGUGUCUGCAGCUGGCUACUCAAUCCUAAUGAUCUGGUUUCCUAAUCUCUUACUUGAACAAAAAUAUGGCGAGGCAGAGACCAUGAGAUGCUGCUUUCACAUCUUUUUUCCAUAUGGGAUUUGGGCAGACAAUUUGCCAACAUAGUGAUGACCUGUUGCUCUUAUUUUUUUUUAUCUAUAGAAACUUGACUCUUCUAUGAAUCAGGGCAUAUCUAUAAACUGAGUGAAACCAAUAAAGGAUGUUAAGGAUACCACAUACAUAUGUA